Non-coding RNA from Fulvivirga imtechensis AK7, 107 nucleotides. It matches the Rfam family "Bacteroidales small SRP". Rfam says of the family: The non-coding component of the signal recognition particle in Bacteroides Lineage: Bacteria; Pseudomonadati; Bacteroidota; Cytophagia; Cytophagales; Fulvivirgaceae. The record is from Rfam.
UUUGCAGUGGCAAAUCGGGUACGACCAGCUCCCGCUGAACUCCCCCAGGACCGGAAGGUAGCAAGGGUAAGCGGUUGUAGCGGUGCGAUACCCUGAUUUGCCUUUUU